GCUGUAUGCAAACAUGUCAAGCUAUCAAAGGAGCUGCCUUUCGGUUUCAUUAAUUUUGUUGUGUGCAGCUUCCGCUGAAGGCUUCAGGGCACCUGAUCUCUUUUGUGUGUUGAUAAAGAGCAAGUGCUUGGCCAGGACACAGCCUUUUCUCUUGCACCCUGAGACAUCCUAAGACACUGGCUGUUUCACCUGCCCCAGUGUAUUUGCUGUCUUCAUCAGCUCUCUUUCUGCCCCUGACAUUCUUGCCUGGCAUUUUGAGUCAGCCUGAGUAUAAUCCGAAUCGAAAUGAAAUGCUGUCUGGAAAUCUUACCAAAGAAGCACAGUCCCACUUCGUGCUUCCAUCUCCCCACAUCCCAAAGACCACCGCCUACUUUAAGAGAGAACACAGACAAUUCACCUCCAUAAAGGCACAGCCAGGGAGAGGAGUAGGCAGAGGUGACAGCAGAUCAUGGGGCUUCUCUUGAAAGGAAGACACCUCCCAGUAACGAACCCUCAUCGUCCAUUUACUGACUUAUCCUUAUGUCACUAGGAUUUGAACGUCUAUGACACUCUUCCGAGCUGACACAGUGAAGAACAUGGAAGGAGAACUCACCCAGUCUGCCAGGGUCACAGAUGAUCAUACUCAAGAUCUUCCUGGGGAGUCAACGGCAAAUUUCACUGGGCUACUUUACAGAUGAAGAAGGAAUAUAAAGAAGGUUCUGGGACCCUGAAGUCCACGGAACACCCACCAUUACCUGAUCUUUGGAGCUUGUCAUUUGGCCAGUGGACCCUAAUAAACAUGUCCACGGGGAUGUGGGGAUGGAAUGCCGGAGCCUGGCUCGCUAGGGCAUCCAGGUUCUUCCUCUUUGCCCUGCUGUCUCCAGGCACCAAGAAUCUCCUGCAGUUCCCCAAAGAUGAACCCCCCAGUAUCUCAGGUCACUCUGUUUCCCUUGAUCUUUACCAAAUUCCUGACUCAGAGUUCCUCCCAUUUGCUUCUGACUCUCAUUUUAUUCUUAUGAUGUUUACCAUUUCUGUUCUCCUCAGUGUCCCUCUCUGAGUGCUAAGAGUAUGUUAAUAAGCCAGUGCUCAGACCACAGCACAAGGCAACUGCUCAGUGUCGGUCAUUAUCACUGUUAUUAAAUGUAACUUAAGGGAA
RNAcentral lists this small RNA (1135 nucleotides) under Pongo abelii (Sumatran orangutan). Its description in RNAcentral is "retained intron". The record is from RNAcentral. Lineage: Eukaryota; Metazoa; Chordata; Mammalia; Primates; Hominidae.